This 362-nucleotide ribosomal RNA is filed under the name uncultured bacterium. RNAcentral describes it as "partial 16S ribosomal RNA". It matches the Rfam family "Bacterial small subunit ribosomal RNA", at positions 338 to 697 of the family's 1533-position model. The record is from RNAcentral.
CCUACGGGAGGCUGCAGUGAGGAAUAUUGGUCAAUGGACGCAAGUCUGAACCAGCCAUGCCGCGUGCAGGAAGACGGCUCUAUGAGUUGUAAACUGCUUUUGUACGGGGGUAAACGCAGUUACGUGUAUCUGUUUGCAAGUAUCGUACGAAUAAGGAACGGCUAACUCCGUGCCAGCAGCCGCGGUAAUACGGAGGGUUCAAGCGUUAUCCGGAUUUAUUGGGUUUAAAGGGUGCGUAGGCGGUCGGUUAAGUUAGAGGUGAAAUCUCGGGGCUCAACUUCGGACUUGCCGCUGAUACUGGUCGGCGAGAGAGUGGUUGCGGUAGGCGGAAUGUAUGGUGUAGCGGUGAAAUGCUUAGAGAU